This is a non-coding RNA of Triticum urartu, 136 nucleotides long. Lineage: Eukaryota; Viridiplantae; Streptophyta; Magnoliopsida; Poales; Poaceae. The record is from RefSeq and is a predicted model, not a curated record.
CGGCCGCCACCCCGGCCCCGACAGCCCCGCCUCCACCCACCGGGAUCCGCUCGUGCCCAAGGACUGGACAGGGGAGGCGCUCCCGGCCUCGGACGAAGAGAAAGGUUUUGUAGAGAGCACAUUGUCGAACCAGCAG